AAAUAGUGGUGGGCAUAAUUUGUUAAAAUGCCACUUCUUCAACGCAUGAUUUCAUAAAUAUGUGCGUACAACGAGAAUUAUAGCAAAAGGAGACAGGAAAAUUGAAGAUAUAUAUUAUGAUGGUAAUGAUGAAAAAAUUGAAUGUAUUAUAAGGAAGAUUCCUUACGAGCUAAAGAAUAAAGAAAAAAUUAUGAUCUCACUAAAUGAAAUGUCCCAUUGGUACUUGUUUGUCAUUGACUUGAAGAGAAAAAUAUUUUCAAUUUACAACUCUCUCAAAGGUCACCAAACAUCAACCUACAUCAAUACGAUGGUUUCACGUUUGAAGAUCCAUUUAUUAAAAAAUUGUGAAAUAGAAUGUGAUGGAUUUACUGUCUCUAUAGACCAAGAAUGCCCCCAGCAACCAAAUUCGUUUAACUGUGGUGUCUACUUAAUGAAAUUUAU
Long non-coding RNA from Magnolia sinica, 441 nucleotides. RefSeq lists it as uncharacterized. NCBI's taxonomy places the organism in Eukaryota, Viridiplantae, Streptophyta, Magnoliopsida, Magnoliales, Magnoliaceae. The record is from RefSeq and is a predicted model, not a curated record. The transcript is spliced from 4 exons.